GUGCUUACUUUAGCAGUACAUAUUCAAAAAUUGGAAUGAGACAGAGAUUAGCAUAAUCCCCAUAUAAGGAUGGCACUCAAAUUUGUGAAGUAUUUCAUAUUUGA
Molecule: small nuclear RNA, 104 nt
Filed under: Chinchilla lanigera (long-tailed chinchilla)
Lineage: Eukaryota; Metazoa; Chordata; Mammalia; Rodentia; Chinchillidae
Source: RNAcentral